RNAcentral lists this transfer RNA (31 nucleotides) under Moquiniastrum polymorphum. RNAcentral's name for it is "partial tRNA-Phe". The record is from RNAcentral. Lineage: Eukaryota; Viridiplantae; Streptophyta; Magnoliopsida; Asterales; Asteraceae.
UCAGGAAUAAUCGGGAUAGCUCAGUUGGUAG